This 339-nucleotide ribosomal RNA is filed under the name Compsopogon caeruleus. RNAcentral's name for it is "partial Bacterial small subunit ribosomal RNA". It matches the Rfam family "Bacterial small subunit ribosomal RNA", at positions 223 to 576 of the family's 1533-position model. The record is from RNAcentral. Lineage: Eukaryota; Rhodophyta; Compsopogonophyceae; Compsopogonales; Compsopogonaceae.
GGAAAGGUCUGCGGAAGAUUAAGUUGUUGGUGGAAUAAAAGUUUACCAAGCUGAAAAUCUUUAGCUAAUUUAAGAGAAUGUAUAGCCACGUUGGAACUGUAAUAAGGUCCAAACUUUGUAAAAGGCAGCAGCGGAAAAUUUUGAGCAAUGAACGAAAGUUUGACUCAGUUAAAACAUGUGUGUGAUAGAAGAUAAAUUUUAUUGUAAAGCACUUUUAUUAUUUAAUAAAAUAUGAUAUAAUAUAGUAAAAAAGUCCUGGCUAAUUACGUGCCAGCAGCAGCGGUAAGACGUAAAGGAUAAACAUUAUUCGGAAUAAUUGGGUGUAAAGUACAAUUAGGU